RNAcentral lists this ribosomal RNA (250 nucleotides) under uncultured bacterium. RNAcentral describes it as "partial 16S ribosomal RNA". It matches the Rfam family "Bacterial small subunit ribosomal RNA", at positions 524 to 773 of the family's 1533-position model. The record is from RNAcentral.
UACAGAGGUCCCAAGCGUUGUUCGGAUUCACUGGACGUAAAGGGUGCGUAAAUGGUCGAAUAAGUCUGAAAUGAAAUCUCCGAGCUCAACUCGGAAACUGCCUCGGAUACUAUCCGGCUGGAGGGUUGGAGGGGGGACUGGAAUUCUCGGUGUAGCAGUGAAAUGCGUAGAUAUCGAGAGGAACACCAGUGGCGAAGGCGAGUCCCUGGACAACUCCUGACACUGAGGCACGAAAGCUAGGGAAGCAAAC